RNAcentral lists this ribosomal RNA (448 nucleotides) under uncultured bacterium. Its description in RNAcentral is "bacterial SSU rRNA". It matches the Rfam family "Bacterial small subunit ribosomal RNA", at positions 330 to 793 of the family's 1533-position model. The record is from RNAcentral.
UCCAGACUCCUACGGGAGGCAGCAGUGGGGAAUAUUGGGCAAUGGGCGCAAGCCUGACCCAGCAACGCCGCGUGAAGGAAGAAGGCUUUCGGGUUGUAAACUUCUUUUAUUCGGGACGAAGCAAGUGACGGUACCGAAUGAAUAAGCCACGGCUAACUCCGUGCCAGCAGCCGCGGUAAUACGGAGGAUGCGAGCGUUAUCCGGAUUUAUUGGGUUUAAAGGGUGCGCAGGCGGCCUGUUAAGUCAGCGGUAAAAGCCGGGGGCCCAACCCCGGCGAGCCGUUGAAACUGGCGGGCUGGAGUUGGAGAGAAGUACGCGGAAUGCGCGGUGUAGCGGUGAAAUGCUUAGAUAUCGCGCAGAACCCCGAUUGCGAAGGCAGCGUACCGGCUCCACACUGACGCUGAGGCACGAAAGCGUGGGUAUCGAACAGGAUUAGAUACCCGAGUAU